RNAcentral lists this long non-coding RNA (5303 nucleotides) under Canis lupus familiaris (dog). RNAcentral's name for it is "lncRNA (ENSCAFG00000056635.1)". Lineage: Eukaryota; Metazoa; Chordata; Mammalia; Carnivora; Canidae. The record is from RNAcentral.
AUAACUGAAUUAGACACAGAAAAUCUGGGGCGGGGCACCUGGGUGGCUCAGUGGUUGAGCAUCUGCCUUUGGCACAAGGUGUGAUCCCGGGGUCCCAGGAUCGAGUCCCACACCAGGCUCCCCGCAGGGAACCUACUUCUCCCUUUGCCUAUGUCUCUGUCUUUCUCUGUGUGUCUCUCAUGAAUAAAUAAAAUCUUUUUUAAAAAAGUAAGAAAAUCUGGGGCCGGGAUGCUUUCAGUCCAUCAAUAACUGGGUGACUAGGACUAGUUCACAUGUUUUCUUUGAGGUUCAGUCUCCUUCCUUGUGAAAUGAAGCAGUGAGAUAAACUCAGAAGAGAAAGUUCUAUAGCACUCGGGCACCAACUUCCCAGUGCUGUGCCCAUGGCAGCCAUUACUAGUUGAUUACCGAGCUCUUGAUGCCCAGUUGAAGCCCCAGAAUGCUGCCCCUGGCAACCACCAGCAAUUGGCUGGGGUGAACAUGUUGGAUGAAACCAAGCAGCACACCGGAGUAGAUGUUUCUACAACCGACUCCAGACCUUCUGACUCCAUAAGUCUAUUCCUCACUGCUACUCGCAGCACCCUGGCCAGGCUGACAAAGCAGGGACAUCCAAUGGUCUCGCAUCAUCUUUCACUACAAAGGACGCCCAUCCCAUCACUCAUGACAAGGACCCGAGGAGUCGAUAACCUGAGCUCCAUUCUGGUUUCACACCCAAGGCAGCCCAGGGACAUCUCCUCUGAACAAAUAUCAACCUGGAGUCACACCACUCUGCAAAACAGGGAGCAGGCUUUGUAGAGAGGAGAGGAGCCCCAGCCCCUGUGAGUGGCCACUGUUCACGGCACUUCAGUGACAUGAGAAGAGCAGACUCCCUACAAUGAACAAUUCUGGCCAACCAAGUGUUCUCUGGCCCCCAUCUGCAUAGCUGUGCAGAUGGUAUUGUUAGCAGGUGGACUGGAGAAGAGUCAAGCUUUGGAGGAUCAGUUCUUGCAAGUUGUUUGUCCUGUCUAGCCUGCUCUCAGCAAGCCAUGCAGAUCGUGUGGGCUCCAGAAAGAGGCAGCCCUGGACUGGAAUCCCAUCACGACCCUUUGUAGCUGUGUGACCUUGGGUAAAUGACCUAACCUCUCUGAGCAUCCUAUCUGUAAAGUGGGAAUACCAAUAUUCCAUGAAGAAUCUUGUGAGGAUAAAAGGAGUAUGUAUAUAAAGUAGCUCAUGUAAUACCAAAGUCAUGCUGAAAAUAAACAUACCUGCAUCAUCAUAAAAGCCAGUAAUAAUAAAAAUGGAAUGUAAACUCACUUAAAAAGAUCCAAGAAUCAGAAGCUAAAGCAGGAAGGGAACUAAAUUGUGUUGCUCAUUAACAUAUACUCAAUAUGAGAAAGAAUUUACACACAUUUCCCCGUUUUAUCUUUUCAUCAAUGAAUGAUACUGUGCCCAUUUUACAGAUGAAGAAACCAAGGGUCAUAGAAGCUCAGGAUGUUCCCCUACAGAAAUGGCACUUUCUCAACUCCUCCCUCUUUUCUUAAAUCAGUUCAAAGCUCCAGGCUUCACUUGCUAAUUUCGUCCAGAGUUGAUUUCCGGUUCUAUUUUAUCCCUAGUUCCUGCAAUCUGGAAAUGUGCUCUGCCCUGAUAAUUUCAUCUAUUCUGGUGCAUCAGCCAUUUCCAUGUGGGUCUCCAUAAGGGCCCCUGCCCCCACCCAGGCUUCAACUGAGCCCUGAAGUGGGUCCUGUUCCCCAAGUUUCAAAGGCCUGUCUUGGUGCCCCAACACCUCAGAUGCUACAUGGCCAAUUCACCCCAUCCUCAAAUCUCCUCCUUCUGAUUCCCUAUUUUGCUGACCAGCAUCACCCUCUGAUCACUCAGCAGUGAUGUCUCUUGGGCAUUUCUCACUCUUUUCUCUCCCUGGAAAUUCAUAUGCAAGUAACUCCCUCUUCACCGCCCCCCGGUGGAUCCCCCCACAAGGCUCUGAUGAGGAUACUUAGACAUGGCUUUGCCAUGGCCCAAGUGUCGCCAGUGCCCCCGCCGUCACCUUACAGAGUUCCAACUCUGCAGCCUGCCACCUGGAGCUUAUCAAAUCUGACCUAAAUCUAUUUAUUUCUCCCCGUGGUGUGUGUCACAGCAAAGUGGGUGACUUACUGCUCCCACAAUAUAGCUCAUGCUUAAUUAGCAGUGGUAAUAAACACAUCAGUGUCAUAAGCACUUUACAUACAAUGUCCUACUAACUCUGCACCGUGACCUUUUUUUUUUUUUUUUUGUCAACACCAUAUCAGAUUUAUUAUUCCAGUGACACUGGGAUACAGCUGGGGGUGCUCACGGUGACCCUGCACAAAGUUUCCUGCCUUCUGGCUUCUGCCCAAAGAGAAAGUCUACCACCGGGUCCUUCCUCCUUUCUGGGAGGAAAUCCACUAUGGGGCCAUUUACCCAAAUAAGCCUCCUUAAUGGAUUAAUUUUUUUUUUUUUUGACAUUUGAGUUUCCAAAAUGGAAAAACAAAGUGUUGAGUGUCCAUUCUACCUCCCCCACCCUCACUGGCCAAAUAAGUCCCUGCUCCCGGGGCACUUCUGUUGCCUCUGAAAUCUUGAAAUAAACACCAAAAGAAACGGCAUCAAGGGUUCACAUUGAGUGACGGCCCCCAGUGGGCCCCAGAACCUGUCAGGUGGACCGUCACUUUGUCUGGACAGUCUUGAGGCAUCACGGAGCCUGCAGGGCCUGUUGCUACGGUCAAGUGGCAGCCCGGUGCAGGGGCUGUGGCCACCACUUUUUACAGUAAACGGUGUCCAGCGGGGUGGUCACACAGGGCCCCGAGUUCAGAAGGGCCACACGCCUGGGUUAAUGCUCUGCUGUCACUGUGCUAAAAUUCUUCAUUUUCGGAGGGCCUCACAUUUCCAUUUUGCCUUGGGCUCCAAACACUAUGCAGCUAGUCCUAGAAGUAGGUGCUGUUAGGAUACCCAUUUUCCAGACAUGAAAAGCAAGGCCACACAGCUAUUAAGCCCAGGAAGUCUUGACAAGUAGCCACUCUACUGAGGCCCUGAUGUGUGGCUGGUCCCCUACCACGUGGAUGGCUUAUUCUGUGCCAUCCAUUCAAGUCCCCCCUCCCUUCGGCUUCACACCCACCCUGCACAAGUGGCUGGCCCCUCCUGUCAUUUCAUUUCCUGAAAGUCACAUGACCUUUCCACAAUCCCAAAGCUCGUCAGGGGCAGAGCCAGAAUCCGGUUCCAGGUCUGCCUGCCCUCAAGCCCGAUGCCACUCCUGCCAUGCCGUUCAGUACAAACAGUGACCCCACCAUUCCGGAGCCAGCACGAACAUCUGGUGAGCAUUGCACGGGGGUGAGGGGGAGGGGAGGUGUGGGCAGAGACCCCGUAGAGACCUCUGAAAAUAAAGCCCGAGCACCCUGUGUACUGAGACCCGAAGAAGCCUCCUUCUUCCUCUAAAAAGCUGUUCCCGUCUCCAAAGCAGCCUCUCACCACAGACCGUGGCUGCUGCUUUCAUGCACUGCAAAGGGAGAAACAGAACAGAUUGUCAGAGCAAUUAAACCAUCACAUGGAAAGCCCAGAGAGACUGGGGAGGGGCAGGACAUGCUGUUUCUUAAUGGUCUGCCUCUAUAUUUAGCCUGAAAUCCCUCCAUCUCGAACCCUUCCAGGGUGCAGGUAGAGGUGAGAGCAGAGUUGGGGGCUCUGGCGCCAUUGGGCUCAUGUCCCAGGAAGCACCCGCCUGCCCGCGUGUGGCCCCAUUAGCACUACACCUUACAAGGGCUCACCAUAUGGCAGGACAGGAAACCCCAACCGUAAAACAAGCAGUGGAAACCACAGGACAGCCUGUCUAGGUGAAACCUGGCAAGAUGAUUCUGUAAAGAUGUUAAAUCAACAAGGGGGAGCUGGCCCUGUCCCACGGGGUGCCAACUUCCCUCGGGGGUUAGGGGCGCAGGUGGGUGACAACAUCUGGGCAGCCUUGAGCUUCAGUCUUCGUUAGAGAGGGGCUUCUUCCUCUCCCUGUCUUCAUCCUGAAGCCAGUGCUCAUAAAUCAGGCACUCCUUGUGUGUGUGUGUGUGUGUGUGUGUGUGUGUGCUGGGGGGCCGGGGAAAGGGUGCACAGAUUCCCCCAUCUGUGUGCACAUGUGCUUUAUAGGGCCUUUUAAAAAUACAAAUGCCAGGGCCCCACUCCCAGAGCUGAUGACUCAUUCUGGAAUGGGGCUCAGACAUCUGUGUUUAUACAAAGCCCUCCAGGUAAUUCUGAGCACGGCCAGUUGAGGAAUAACUGGUAGGUAUAAUGGUCAUAAAAUAUAUUUAAGAGCUUGGGCUUUAUGUUCUAGUUUUGGUCGCUUACUGUUUGAGGGGCUCUGAACAAAUAUAUGUGCAUCUUGGCACCUCGGUCUCCCCAUUUAUAAGUGGGUACGGAUCCUCAGUUCCUGGUACAUAGUCAGUGCUCAGCAAGUGCUGCGGGCUGACCAAAUGGCUGGCUGGCUGAACGAAGUGCAUCAAUGCGUGGCCGUUAUUAGUCCCUACACACAGAGAGGGCUCCUUGUCUCGGGCCGGGGGGCCCCAGAAACAAACUCUUACACAGGAAUGAAGCAGUCAAUUUGCAAGGUGGUCUUAAGAAGCAUCAGCAGGAAAGUCUGGGAAGUGAGGACAGAAAGAAAUGAGCAGUAGAGGGUGCAUUAAUGAGCCCAUGACCACAGGGGACAACUGAGGCUGGGUCCCACGGGGAUCUCUGGGAAACAGUGCAGAAUAUGCAUGGGGAUUUAUCCCCCAGCUCUUACCAUCAAUGGCUGAGGGCUUCCCCCCUGCCCCUGCCUGGGGGUGUGAGCUCCGGGGCAUUUCUCCCCUGUCCUGCUUGUGGGCAGAAAAGACACCCCCAGCAGAGGGUUGGAGAGCUGUGGUGUUUGCUGUGGGGCGCCAUCGGCAGCCAGUACAAGGAGGGUGCCCAGGGGACGUGAACAAGGCACCCAGGGCCUCAGCUUCACUGCACCACUGAUUGGCAUCUUCCUGCACAGGGGAGGGCAAGACCCACUGGAGAUGCCCAAGUUCUCUGCAUCCCACAGCUGCCACCACCACCAGGGCUAGCAAUGCAAAGUCCUGUCUAUCCCAAUAUGCCCAUUUCCUGGGCAGUUCCCAGCCUACAUCAGCAUCUCUCAACCUCUGCACUGCUAACGUCUUGGGCUGGUGAAUUCUUUGUUGUGGGAGCUGUCCUUUGGGUCAUAGGAGGUUUAGCAGCCUCCCUGACCUCUACUUCCUUGAUGACACUAGCAUCUCCCAGUUAUGACAACUAAAACCUGUCCCCAGGCACUGUCAAAUGUCCUCUGGGUGGCAAAGUCGCCCAAA